Molecule: ribosomal RNA, 397 nt
Filed under: uncultured bacterium
Lineage: Bacteria
Description: bacterial SSU rRNA
Rfam family: Bacterial small subunit ribosomal RNA
Source: RNAcentral
UAAUACGUAGGGUGCGAGCGUUGUCCGGAUUUAUUGGGCGUAAAGAGCUCGUAGGCGGUUUGUCGCGUCGGCCGUGAAAUCUCCACGCUUAACGUGGAGCGUGCGGUCGAUACGGGCAGACUUGAGUUCGGUAGGGGAGACUGGAAUUCCUGGUGUAGCGGUGAAAUGCGCAGAUAUCAGGAGGAACACCGGUGGCGAAGGCGGGUCUCUGGGCCGAUACUGACGCUGAGGAGCGAAAGCGUGGGGAGCGAACAGGAUUAGAUACCCUGGUAGUCCACGCUGUAAACGUUGGGCGCUAGGUGUGGGCGACAUCCACGUUGUCCGUGCCGUAGCUAACGCAUUAAGCGCCCCGCCUGGGGAGUACGGCCGCAAGGCUAAAACUCAAAGGAAUUGACGG